AGCGUACACGGUGGAUGCCCUGGCAGUCAGAGGCGAUGAAGGACGUGCUAAUCUGCGAUAAGCGUCGGUGAGGUGAUAUGAACCGUUAUAACCGGCGAUUUCCGAAUGGGGAAACCCAGUGUGAUUCGUCACACUAUCAUUAACUGAAUCCAUAGGUUAAUGAGGCGAACCGGGGGAACUGAAACAUCUAAGUACCCCGAGGAAAAGAAAUCAACCGAGAUUCCCCCAGUAGCGGCGAGCGAACGGGGAGGAGCCCAGAGCCUGAAUCAGUGUGUGUGUUAGUGGAAGCGUCUGGAAAGGCGCGCGAUACAGGGUGACAGCCCCGUACACAAAAAUGCACAUAUUGUGAGCUCGAUGAGUAGGGCGGGACACGUGGUAUCCUGUCUGAAUAUGGGGGGACCAUCCUCCAAGGCUAAAUACUCCUGACUGACCGAUAGUGAACCAGUACCGUGAGGGAAAGGCGAAAAGAACCCCGGCGAGGGGAGUGAAAAAGAACCUGAAACCGUGUACGUACAAGCAGUGGGAGCCUCUUAAUGGGGUGACUGCGUACCUUUUGUAUAAUGGGUCAGCGACUUAUAUUCUGUAGCAAGGUUAACCGAAUAGGGGAGCCGAAGGGAAACCGAGUCUUAACUGGGCGUUAAGUUGCAGGGUAUAGACCCGAAACCCGGUGAUCUAGCCAUGGGCAGGUUGAAGGUUGGGUAACACUAACUGGAGGACCGAACCGACUAAUGUUGAAAAAUUAGCGGAUGACUUGUGGCUGGGGGUGAAAGGCCAAUCAAACCGGGAGAUAGCUGGUUCUCCCCGAAAGCUAUUUAGGUAGCGCCUCGUGAAUUCAUCUCCGGGGGUAGAGCACUGUUUCGGCAAGGGGGUCAUCCCGACUUACCAACCCGAUGCAAACUGCGAAUACCGGAGAAUGUUAUCACGGGAGACACACGGCGGGUGCUAACGUCCGUCGUGAAGAGGGAAACAACCCAGACCGCCAGCUAAGGUCCCAAAGUCAUGGUUAAGUGGGAAACGAUGUGGGAAGGCCCAGACAGCCAGGAUGUUGGCUUAGAAGCAGCCAUCAUUUAAAGAAAGCGUAAUAGCUCACUGGUCGAGUCGGCCUGCGCGGAAGAUGUAACGGGGCUAAACCAUGCACCGAAGCUGCGGCAGCGACACUAUGUGUUGUUGGGUAGGGGAGCGUUCUGUAAGCCUGUGAAGGUGUGCUGUGAGGCAUGCUGGAGGUAUCAGAAGUGCGAAUGCUGACAUAAGUAACGAUAAAGCGGGUGAAAAGCCCGCUCGCCGGAAGACCAAGGGUUCCUGUCCAACGUUAAUCGGGGCAGGGUGAGUCGACCCCUAAGGCGAGGCCGAAAGGCGUAGUCGAUGGGAAACAGGUUAAUAUUCCUGUACUUGGUGUUACUGCGAAGGGGGGACGGAGAAGGCUAUGUUGGCCGGGCGACGGUUGUCCCGGUUUAAGCGUGUAGGCUGGUUUUCCAGGCAAAUCCGGAAAACCAAGGCUGAGGCGUGAUGACGAGGCACUACGGUGCUGAAGUGACAAAUGCCCUGCUUCCAGGAAAAGCCUCUAAGCAUCAGGUAACAUCAAAUCGUACCCCAAACCGACACAGGUGGUCAGGUAGAGAAUACCAAGGCGCUUGAGAGAACUCGGGUGAAGGAACUAGGCAAAAUGGUGCCGUAACUUCGGGAGAAGGCACGCUGAUAUGUAGGUGAAGCGACUUGCUCGUGGAGCUGAAAUCAGUCGAAGAUACCAGCUGGCUGCAACUGUUUAUUAAAAACACAGCACUGUGCAAACACGAAAGUGGACGUAUACGGUGUGACGCCUGCCCGGUGCCGGAAGGUUAAUUGAUGGGGUCAGCGGUAACGCGAAGCUCUUGAUCGAAGCCCCGGUAAACGGCGGCCGUAACUAUAACGGUCCUAAGGUAGCGAAAUUCCUUGUCGGGUAAGUUCCGACCUGCACGAAUGGCGUAAUGAUGGCCAGGCUGUCUCCACCCGAGACUCAGUGAAAUUGAACUCGCUGUGAAGAUGCAGUGUACCCGCGGCAAGACGGAAAGACCCCGUGAACCUUUACUAUAGCUUGACACUGAACAUUGAGCCUUGAUGUGUAGGAUAGGUGGGAGGCUUUGAAGUGUGGACGCCAGUCUGCAUGGAGCCGACCUUGAAAUACCACCCUUUAAUGUUUGAUGUUCUAACGUUGGCCCGUAAUCCGGGUUGCGGACAGUGUCUGGUGGGUAGUUUGACUGGGGCGGUCUCCUCCUAAAGAGUAACGGAGGAGCACGAAGGUUGGCUAAUCCUGGUCGGACAUCAGGAGGUUAGUGCAAUGGCAUAAGCCAGCUUGACUGCGAGCGUGACGGCGCGAGCAGGUGCGAAAGCAGGUCAUAGUGAUCCGGUGGUUCUGAAUGGAAGGGCCAUCGCUCAACGGAUAAAAGGUACUCCGGGGAUAACAGGCUGAUACCGCCCAAGAGUUCAUAUCGACGGCGGUGUUUGGCACCUCGAUGUCGGCUCAUCACAUCCUGGGGCUGAAGUAGGUCCCAAGGGUAUGGCUGUUCGCCAUUUAAAGUGGUACGCGAGCUGGGUUUAGAACGUCGUGAGACAGUUCGGUCCCUAUCUGCCGUGGGCGCUGGAGAACUGAGGGGGGCUGCUCCUAGUACGAGAGGACCGGAGUGGACGCAUCACUGGUGUUCGGGUUGUCAUGCCAAUGGCACUGCCCGGUAGCUAAAUGCGGAAGAGAUAAGUGCUGAAAGCAUCUAAGCACGAAACUUGCCCCGAGAUGAGUUCUCCCUGACUCCUUGA
Molecule: ribosomal RNA, 2787 nt
Filed under: Escherichia coli
Lineage: Bacteria; Pseudomonadati; Pseudomonadota; Gammaproteobacteria; Enterobacterales; Enterobacteriaceae
Description: bacterial LSU rRNA
Rfam family: Bacterial large subunit ribosomal RNA
Source: RNAcentral